Molecule: transfer RNA, 65 nt
Filed under: Saccostrea kegaki
Lineage: Eukaryota; Metazoa; Mollusca; Bivalvia; Ostreida; Ostreidae
Description: tRNA-Met
Rfam family: tRNA
About the family: Transfer RNA (tRNA) molecules are approximately 80 nucleotides in length. Their secondary structure includes four short double-helical elements and three loops (D, anti-codon, and T loops). Further hydrogen bonds mediate the characteristic L-shaped molecular structure. tRNAs have two regions of fundamental functional importance: the anti-codon, which is responsible for specific mRNA codon recognition, and the 3' end, to which the tRNAs corresponding amino acid is attached (by aminoacyl-tRNA synthetases). tRNAs cope with the degeneracy of the genetic code in two manners: having more than one tRNA (with a specific anti-codon) for a particular amino acid; and 'wobble' base-pairing, i.e. permitting non-standard base-pairing at the 3rd anti-codon position.
Source: RNAcentral
GGAAAAGUAGUCUAAUAAAGGACGUCGGUUUCAUAAUUCGAAAGUGGUAAAUUAACCCUUUUCUA